This is a non-coding RNA of Schizosaccharomyces pombe (fission yeast), 1542 nucleotides long. The record is from the annotation of a GenBank genome assembly. Lineage: Eukaryota; Fungi; Ascomycota; Schizosaccharomycetes; Schizosaccharomycetales; Schizosaccharomycetaceae.
AAUUCAACCGUUAUAGUGUUGUGUUCUGCAUCUUGCUGUACAGUCCAGAUAAACCCUACCAAGUUCAAACAUAGAUAUCUUCUAUUACCCUGCCAUGGUGUACUUCCAGUAUGAACGGGUUUAUGUAUUGAGGCUUGCAGUAAACGUCUUUUACUAGAACCAUUCUCUAUUGUUGUAGUUCUGUCGAUCAACGCCUUCUGCUUUCUUUUCUUUGCAAGGUUUAAGUCGUUUUCAUCAACCAUAUAACUAUCACCAUCUAGGUCCAAAGAUGAAUCCAAUCCAUCAUGAUUGAUAAACUCAUUUUCCUCGUUGGCAGAGUUCCCAUCCAAAUCAUUGACGUUCUGACUUUGCUCAUCGUCAGAACCAAAAAGAUCAUCAAGCUCUUUGGAAGUACGGUUUUUACUUUUUGACGAAGUCAAAGGCUUCGUAGGAUCAUUUUCUUCCUUCAAUAUUGAUUUAGGAAUGACAUCCGGACAUGAAUACAAAAUUCCCUGAUUUGUAGUAAAUGAUAACACGUUUUCAAAUGGCUGCCAGGCGAGUGCCACCACUGUACUAUAGGGGAGCUCAACGACUACUUCAUGACUUUGUGUAUCCCAAAUUAAAAUGCCUCCUUUUUUAAAUGAAGCAGCUAUGUACAUUCCAUUACUGGACCAGGAGAUAUCUGUUACACCAGAAUGAUUCUCUUUUGGAAGAAGUUUGUACAAUGGAAGCCAGUCAUCAGGGGAAAUAACUGAUACAAAAUGGUCGGUACUCGCAACUGCAAAUGUCCCGUUUUUAGGAUGCCAAGCCGCCUUUGAGCAAAUUUCUGAUUCUGCCUCUAAAGAGGCAAUAGUGUUUGUUAAGAACUUGAUGAGUUCACGAGUUUGGGUGUCAUAAAAAUACAAAAUUCCAUUGCAACUGGAAACUGCUAAAAAAUUUCCGUUCGGGCUAUAAGUUACAUGUUUAUUCGAAGCCUUAGCUGGACGAAGAGAGAAAAUUUGUGAAGAAUCAGUGGACGAAACCACUUUCACUGCUGUUUCACUAUAUUUGUUAGGCUGAAAACGACCAAGUAGAGCAUUAUACACUAAAAAAAACUUACUCACUAGCUAUGGCAAUCCAAUUUCCAUCUACUGAAUAUGCCACAUCGCGAAUAGGAAGAGUAGUACGCGCCAGCAAUGUAUGCUCGGUAGGAGAAUCGAUGGGAUAUACGCAGACAGUUGCAUCUUCUGAACAAGUACAAAAAUAAUUUUCCUAUAUAAAAGUCAUUAGCUCCAAACUUUUUUGAGGACCACUUACAGCAACUGCAAUUCCUGUUAUAGGAUCUUGAUGAUUAUCAAUGGAGUCGGGUUCCUCAUCAGAACCAACCUGAAAUUUUCGGAUUACUUGAUUAGAACCGACCGUAAGAAGAAAUUUCCCAUCACGAGUAUACGCUAGACGCGUCAGUCCAUCUGUAUGGGCAUAUCUAGGAACUAGCCUAUUCCCUGCCAUAAUAGCUAGAGGAAGAGUUUGUAUAUGAGAUUGGGACUAGUAUGGCAAUAGCGAUACUUUCGUUAGCUAGUUACG